GACGAACGCUGGCGGCGCGCUUAACACAUGCAAGUCGAGCGAAGCGGCGGACGGGUGAGUAACACGUGAGUAACCUGCCUUAGACAUUGGGAUAGCCUCGGGAAACCGGGAUUAAUACCAAAUGGUCUAAGAUGGACUCGGGUCCCAUUAGCCAGUUGGUGAGGUAACGGCCCACCAAGGCAACGAUAGGUAGCCGGCCUGAGAUGGUGAACGGCCACGUGGGGACUGGGCAACGGUCCGAACUCUACGGGAGGCAGCAGUGGUGAAUAUUGCACAAUGGAGGGAACUCUGAUGCAGCGACGCCGCGUGAACGAAGAAAGCUUUCGAGUCGUAAAGUUCUUUUAUAUGGGAAGCGGUACCAUAAGAAAAAUCCCCGGCUAACUACGUGCCAGCAGCCGCGGUAAUAC
Molecule: ribosomal RNA, 407 nt
Filed under: uncultured bacterium
Lineage: Bacteria
Description: partial 16S ribosomal RNA
Rfam family: Bacterial small subunit ribosomal RNA
Source: RNAcentral